CGACACCGCAUGGUGUUGAUUUGAAAGACGCUUUCGGGUGUCACUGAUGGAUGGACCCGCGGUGCAUUAGCUAGUUGGUGAGGUAACGGCUCACCAAGGCGAUGAUGCAUAGCCGACCUGAGAGGGUGAUCGGCCACACUGGGACUGAGACACGGCCCAGACUCCUACGGGAGGCAGCAGUAGGGAAUCUUCGGCAACGGACGAAAGUCUGACCGAGCAACGCCGCGUGAGUGAAGAAGGUUUUCGGAUCGUAAAACUCUGUUGUUAGAGAAGAAUAAGUAGGAGAGUAACUGCUCUUACCUUGACGGUAUCUAACCAGAAAGCCACGGCUAACUACGUGCCAGCAGCCGCGGUAAUACGUAGGUGGCAAGCGUUGUCCGGAUUUAUUGGGCGUAAAGCGAGCGCAGGCGGUUUCUUAAGUCUGAUGUGAAAGCCCCCGGCUCAACCGGGGAGGGUCAUUGGAAACUGGGAGACUUGAGUGCARAAGAGGAGAGUGGAAUUCCAUGUGUAGCGGUGAAAUGCGUANAUAUAUGGAGGAACACCAGUGGCGAAGGCGACUCUCUGGUCUGUAACUGACGCUGAGGCUCGAAAGCGUGGGGAGCAAACAGGAUUARAUACCCUGGUANUCCACGCCGUAAACGAUGANUGCUAAGUGUUGGAGGGUUUCCGCCC
Molecule: ribosomal RNA, 672 nt
Filed under: uncultured bacterium
Lineage: Bacteria
Description: bacterial SSU rRNA
Rfam family: Bacterial small subunit ribosomal RNA
Source: RNAcentral